GGCGGGGGGGAUGCUUACCAUGCAGUCGAGCGGCAGCAUGCCCUUCGGGGUGAUGGCGAGCGGCGGACGGGUGAGUAAUACAUAGGAAUCUGCCCUAGAGUGGGGGAUAGCCCGGGGAAACUCGGAUUAAUACCGCAUAAUCUCUACGGAGCAAAGUGGGGGAUCUUCGGACCUCACGCUUUAGGAUGAGCCUAUGGCCGAUUAGCUUGUUGGUGAGGUAACGGCUCACCAAGGCCACGAUCGGUAGCUGGUUUGAGAGGAUGAUCAGCCACACUGGGACUGAGACACGGCCCAGACUCCUACGGGAGGCAGCAGUGGGGAAUAUUGGACAAUGGGCGAAAGCCUGAUCCAGCAAUUCCGCGUGUGUGAAGAAGGCCUUAGGGUUGUAAAGCACUUUAAUCAGGGAAGAAAAAGCUUUGGCUAAUAUCCAAAGCCUUGACGGUACCUGAAGAAUAAGCACCGGCAAACUCUGUGCCAGCAGCCGCGGUAAUACAGAGGGUGCGAGCGUUAAUCGGAUUUACUGGGCGUAAAGCGUGCGUAGGAGGCUUGUUAAGUCGGUUGUGAAAUCCCCGGGCUCAACCUGGGAACUGCAGUCGAUACUGGCAAGCUAGAGUUCGGUAGAGGGUGGUGGAAUUUCCGGUGUAGCGGUGAAAUGCGUAGAGAUCGGAAGGAACACCAAUGGCGAAGGCAACCACCUGGGCCUGAACUGA
RNAcentral lists this ribosomal RNA (710 nucleotides) under Algiphilus sp. RNAcentral's name for it is "bacterial SSU rRNA". It matches the Rfam family "Bacterial small subunit ribosomal RNA", at positions 34 to 743 of the family's 1533-position model. The record is from RNAcentral. Lineage: Bacteria; Pseudomonadati; Pseudomonadota; Gammaproteobacteria; Nevskiales; Algiphilaceae.